GGCAGCGUGGCUCAGUGGAAAGAGCCUGGAUUUCAGGGUCAGAGGUCGUGGGUUCGACUCCCGGCUCUGCCA
Non-coding RNA from Ornithorhynchus anatinus (platypus), 72 nucleotides. Lineage: Eukaryota; Metazoa; Chordata; Mammalia; Monotremata; Ornithorhynchidae. The record is from Rfam.